CCGUCCCGUGCGCCGCGCACGCACCCAAACCAAGUAACCAACCCAAUCUAGUCCUGCCACGCACUGUGCACAACCAGUCCCCUCCUUCCGCACGAAUCCUACCAGAGAGAGGAAGAUGGGAGGGAGAGAGAGAGGAGGAAGAUGGGAGGAGGGAGAAAGAGAGAGGGAGAGGAGAGGGAGGUCUGGCGGCGGACGGGAAAGGGUGACCAGCCAGCGUUGGCCUGUGCCCCUCCUCUCGUAGGAACCCUAGCGGAGAGAGAAGAUGAGAGGGAGAGAGAGAAGGAAGGAGAGAAGGGAGAAAGAGAGAGGAAAAAGGAGAGGGAGGUGCGACGGCUGACGGGAGAGAGGAUCACCGGCCGGCGUCGGUCUGCGCCGGCCAGGAUGGGCGCGACCUGGAGGUUGGCGGCGGCUCGAUCCGCUCCUGGAUCGGGAACUGCGACGGGGCUGGGUCUCGGGCGCGAUUCACGGGAGGCUGCACUCCGCCUCUUCCUCGUGGUGCGGCGGACGGCGGCUCUUGCGGCCGUGCGGCCGACGGCGGCCUCAGCGGGUGGGCGAUGACACCUACAGCUGGUGUUCUACCCAUGGAUUCCCGUACAGCCCGAGGCGCUCUGGACAAAUUAGGCCUGAGCCAAUGGGGGAGAAGACGGAGUAUAUGGAUGAGCAGCUGGAGCACACGUUCAUUUGAUGUUUGCGCGCAAGAUGGAGAAGUUCGCUAGAAGGAAGAAGAGUUGGGCGGCGAGGAGGAGAAGAAGGCGGUCUGCGAGCUGCUUGCACGCGCAGCAGCAGGAGUCCGCCCGUGAGGUGCUCCUCUGGAUACUCCCUUCCGGCGCCGGGCUUACGUGUUCAACACCGCCCUCACUGUCCCCUUCUUCCAUUGGCUCAUCGGUCGGUCAGAGGUUAUCGAGGUGGAGGUCAACGGGGUGAGACAGAGAAGUGGAGUGCUCAUAAAGAAACGCAGCUGCUGCCUGGAUUCGCCGUCGUGGCCGCCGCCUCCAGUCGCUUCCACCUGGACAUCCUUCGCCAACAAGGUAAUUUCGUUCCGGUCCCAGCUGUCCUCCUAUCCUCCGCGCUUGAUUGCUAUGAGUUCUUGUUGUGUGUGUGCUUGCUGGCUUAGUGAUGUGUGUGUCCGGGAACCCAUUGUGUUCUUUUUUAUGGAUUGCUGCUGCGUGCAUGAUUGUUGUGGCUGGCUUGGUGGUAGCAUCAUACAUACUGUUCUGGUUGGUUAGCUUGACGCUCUAAAGCUAGGCUUUUAAUUCUCUGGGUGUAAGUAAUGUAUUGCUAUACCAGAUAAAAUAUACACAUGCAUUGCAAACAUGAUUCUGCUUAUACGCGGAAGUAUAUUUUUCAAAUCUAUCUCUUCAAUUCUUAGGACCAUUCUUUACUGAAAGUCUAGAACUAUGUAAUUUGGUAAUCGUGUCAAAGUUCGCCUGGUUGUGCCGUAUUACAUUGUGAUUUGUGAAUGCUAUGUCGUUGGGGAAUCAGCGAGCUUGGUUAUAUUUCUGGGGCCAUCAUGUUAACUGGUGCUGGUAGCGCUCGCUUGCUAGCUAUGAGUUCUUGUUCUGUGUUUGCUUACUGGCUUAGUUAUGUGUGUUUGUCCGGGCACCUAUUGUGGUUUGUUUUUUGCUAGCUUGCUGCUGCGUGCAUGAUUGUUGUAACCGGGUGCUGGCUGUUUGGUGCUGGGCUGCUGAUGGCAUGAGACCCGCUUCAAAAAAAGGAAUGAAAGGAAGCAUUUGUUCAUAGAACAAAUAUAUUGUAAAAAUUUCCAUGGAAAGCCUGCAUAUUUAGCUCGGAAAAGGGGUCUAAAGAGGCUUAGAUUCUUGUUAUGUAUUGAUUUUGUAAAAUAUCUGCAGCUAUAUAUUGCUCAAUCAAAGAAAGAUUUUACUCAACCUUCAGUGUAAUGUAUUUCUAAUUGUUCAGAACUACUUCAAGUUUUGUUGUGAUUUUGCAAGAUUCUGAAAUUAUUGUAUUUCGGAAUUGUUAUACUGAUUCCUCGAUGCUCUGUUCAUGGCUUUGUUCUUAUUUUAUCCUUAGUUAUUUGAUUUUUCCUUUCCUACAAGAAGAUGCUGAGUCAUGUAAUAUGUUCAAAGAAGAGAGAAUCUGCAUUUUCUGAAUGCUUUCUUCUUUCUUCAUUGUUACUUCAAGUUAGCGAAUCCAGUUAAGUUGUACUGAGAAGAUUCAUACGCAUGCUUUCUCCAUCUACACAUCUUAUUCAGUCACGAGGCCAUUAAGAUCUUUUGCCUUUUAGAAAAAGGGAGAUGCCAUUUAGACCUUACUCUGUUCAACUUGAUCUUUAACUUGCUACUACUGUUUCUAAGCAUUUUCCCAAGCAUUGUUUUAUUUGCAUCAGAGAAUGAGCUCACCUUAUUCAGUGGAUGUGACAAGUAAAAAAUUAGAAACUGAGCAAUUAGUUCCACUCUUAAAUUUUGUACAGCAGUCCAAAUUAUCCAAUAAAUCAUUUGUUAGCAGGGUCUAAUUAUAGAAGUGGAAUCAGUUGUUCCAAAUUACCCAGUCCAAAUUGUGGAUGUUAAAAAUCUGUUUUGUGUUAGUCAAAUUGUUGAAAGCCGGAGCUGGGUCGAGGAGCCGGCCUCCGCCUUCGCCAUUGCCUGAGAGAAGCAACACCAGCAUUGGGCGUUCCAUGUGGAGAAUGAUGAGGUAUGGCAUGGAAUGGUUGGGUUUUGAGUGGUAGGUGAUCCCUAUGCCGGCGGUGAUAGCAGCCAUCAUUGGUACAUUUCAGUAAUAUGUAAGUCCAUUUCAGGCCCUGUUUGUUUGGGCUUUUGCUUCUGCUUUUGCAGCUUUUCUAUUUUAGCCAAAAAGCCAUAAAAGCUAGGUGCUUUUAGAGCUUUUAUGGCUUUUGGAGCUGAAUAUUGUUAUAUUGAUUCAUCAAAAGCCAAAAAAGCUCCAAAAGCACCUAUUUAGGAGCUUUUAUGGCUUUUUGGCCAAAGUGGAAAAGCUGCAAAAGCAGAAGCAAAAGCCCAAACAAACAGGGCCUCAGUAAUAUGUCUUGUUUUACUUCCUCCGCGGUGACUCUGGAUGUAUUCUCGGCUUUACAGUCAGUAAAAAGAAGGCAUGCAAAACAUUAUGUUUUUGCCUUGGUUGAAUGUCUCAUUUAAUUGUCGCUUAUUUAUUUCAAGUUACUGAAUUCGCAUCAAACUUUCCUUGUGCUUUCCAUUAAUAAAUAAGAAAUUAAUACGCAAUGUUUUUAAUAUGUGAGGAGGCGAGAGAAGAAGAAAAGAGGGGUUGUCAGGUUGGACCUUGGUACGUCUCUGACCAGAGAUGGUUGGAUCCGUCCGACGCUCAGUGCAUUCUAGAUUCAAUGGGUAGUACAUGGAGCUUAUUUACUUUGCCGCUCUUAUGGCUUUAUCUGUACUUGACAUAUCAAGAGCUGGUGGGGGGUGUACUCUCUCCCUCAAGGUAAGCGUGAAUGCAACGGACAUUGAUUGUGGCUGUUUAGAUAAAAAAUUGAGUGCAAAUUGAGUUUUAACAGUGAGACUUAUUCCAUUUGUUUAUCCUUUUGGCCUUUUAAUCAAGAACAAUGUUCAGAGCUUACAUGGUUGUCUAAAUUUAGUUUUGUAAAAGAGCAAUAUUGAUAUCAUGCAAUGAUCGGUGCAAAUUAGGAUAGUCAUAGAGUUCUUCCUCAGUUGUCAUUGAGCAAAGAUUGAAUCUGUGUGAUUUGUUCUAAUACCAAGUAAAUCUUGGUCUGCAUUGUGUUAGUUUUCAUACUGAGUUUUUUUUGGCUAUUUUCGUUUGAAUUGGGAGUUGAUGUGAAAAAGAGUGUGUGUUGACAUGCAUGUAACCAAAUCAUGUAUUAAUGUGAGGUACUACAUAUACUUGCAUAUCUCUUUUCAGAAGCACGACCCUCUUGAUCCAACUAGGAACAUCAAAACUAAAAUGGGAUAUCAUUGACUGGACUUCAGAUGGCCAUGCUGUGAGUUCACCAUUACUAAAUAGUAUCUGAAUCUUCUUUGUAUAAUUAAGACACACUUUCUACAUAGAGCUGCUAUAGUGAUACCAUGUGAUCACUUAACAUGAGUGCGACUAGCCUAUUUUCUCUAUUUAAAAGUAGAGUUGUGUUUAUCAUAAAAUUUAUAUACCAUGGACUUGUUGCUUUCUGUUUAUAUAAUAGGGCAGUUCGUCUUCUAUCAUCUGUUUUCUUCAUUACAUGUCUCUUAGAUUGUUGGAGAGGCCUUUACGAAUAAGUUGAUUAACUACAUUUAUGUGUUAAUAUAUUUGCCUGAUGGGUUUCCCUAUUAUGGCUCAUGGUCAUAGAUGUAGUCUGCCUUUGCUAUUGUUGUUUCUCCAAAUAGUAUCUACAUCCCACUAUAUUGUAUGUGUUGUGAAUGUACGGCUGUUAAAUCUGUUUGUUUGCUUCUGCUGGUAUGUUGUGUGAUCAUUGUAACAAUCAGAUGCAUGGAAAUUUGGAGCAGUUAAUCCCAAUAGCGAGACAUGAGUUAUGCUCAAGGUAAUUGACCUUUGCAUAAUAAGAUAUAUGGAGCUCUUUUGAAUGCAGCAUUUUAGCUGAAUUGAUGGAAAUGUCAGUAUUCUACUUUCGUUCACAGAUUUCAAGAGAUUUUCCAUGCAAAAAAAUAAUGUAUCAAGGCCAGUUUUGUCGUGUAUUUCUUGGUGAAUGUGUAGCAAGCUCUUCGUGUGCUCAUUUUCUCCUCUGCUAAAAAGAAUUUUCCCAAUGAAAGAAGUACACGCUUAAUGAUUUAUGUUAUGUGUUAAUGAUAGGGAGUAUCAACAAGAACUUAAUGCAGGAUGCAGCCAGAUUGGGUCCAUUCUCGAUGGGGUGGAACUGGAGCUUCCAGGGGAUGGUUCUGAUCCAGUUCCAUUAAGGGUGUAUUUUUUUUGGAGCUUGGCCUGGUGUGGUUUUGUCCAUGCCUAUGAACAGGCUGCCCUCCAUGCCAUAAGAUUUUUAUAGGGCUUAUAUGGGUUUGUAGUUCGAGAUUAUAAUUAUGACUGUAUGAUGGUCUAUAGGAGCUUCCUUCGUUUUUCCAUGACAGUUUCAGUUUCAGCCGUCCGGUCUGUUGGGUGCCUGCAGAGGGAGGGUGCCUGUAGAGGGGAUUGUUCUCUGUGAACGUGGAAAUUAAUCCAGAUAUUGUAUCUACUGUCCCAUUUCGAUUGGGCUCUGUUGUACUCACAUUUACUAUUAAACAUGGAUAUUAUAACAUUGAAUAAAGGGGGUAUUAAAUGUAAAAAA
Non-coding RNA from Triticum urartu, 5197 nucleotides. NCBI's taxonomy places the organism in Eukaryota, Viridiplantae, Streptophyta, Magnoliopsida, Poales, Poaceae. The record is from RefSeq and is a predicted model, not a curated record.